UCUGAAUCUAGUAGUGUGUUCAGUGUUCUGCUGUCAGCACUAUUUCAGUUGUCCACCUACCUUGUUAAUAUCAGUGUGUACUUCAUUUUUAAUAUGUUGAUGUCAAUUUUGUCAGGAAUUUAUUCACUGUUGAUUCAUUCUGUGUAUGAACUGUUGACAGGAAGCAGAGAGCAGCAUCUCCAGAGUCCAGCUGUGUGUGUGUGAAGAGGAACAACUCCAUGAUGGAGCCUCAUAACUCCAGCAGUGGAGGAGGAACCUCUGACCCAAAGGUAAAGAGAGCAGAGUCUCCAGCACCCAGCUGUGUGUCUCUGAAGAGUGAUGCGUCCAUGGGUGAUUUUCCUAACUUCAGCAAUGGAACUGUGCCGUCUGACCCAAAGGUAAAGAGAGCAGAUUCUCCAGCACCCAGCUGUGUGUCUCUGAAGAGUGACGGGUUCAUGAGUGAUCCUCCUGUAUUCAGCAGUGGACCUGUGCCGUCUGACCCAAAGUGUCACAUUACACACUCAUAUUCUUUCAUUAUUGUAGGUGUGGAAGGGUGGAGGGUGCUGUUCUGUCAGUAAUGUAAGGUCUACUCCAUCUUUACUGUUUUAAGAUCAUUUGUAAGGUGUGUUAAUGAUGAUCACUGAGUGAGGAUGACAGUCAACAAUUCCAGUUAUACAGCU
Molecule: long non-coding RNA, 659 nt
Organism: Electrophorus electricus (electric eel)
Lineage: Eukaryota; Metazoa; Chordata; Actinopteri; Gymnotiformes; Gymnotidae
Source: Ensembl